RNAcentral lists this long non-coding RNA (1025 nucleotides) under Coturnix japonica (Japanese quail). RNAcentral describes it as "lncRNA (ENSCJPG00005008367.1)". The record is from RNAcentral. Lineage: Eukaryota; Metazoa; Chordata; Aves; Galliformes; Phasianidae.
CAGUAAGCAAAAAUUUGCCCUGCUACACUAAUAGUUCACUUAUGUAAUCUGAAUAACAGAGUUAAUCAGAACUUUCAUUAAAAAAACUGAUGCCAUUCUUGAUUGCAUUUUAUACACAAAUUACCUGGGCUUUCCUUACCUACUAGUAGAAUUCUUCUAGCAGAAGAGUUAAAUUUAGUCUCUCCGAUUUAGAAAAUCCCUAGCAUUUCUGUUAUCCAUCUGACUGGACACUGGUUUGGAGGAAAGCCAGCUGUGUGUCAGUAACGUCAUGCUGUUGGGUGCCAGAGAAGCAGCAUGAUUGUCCUCCUUAACCCAGAAAUUCAGCUGUGUGUGAGAGCAAUUCACAUCACCUGUGCUUCUGGGAGGACCGUGGCAAGUUAGCAGUAGUUCUUGUAAAAGCAAGUCAAAUGGGGAGGCAGCACAACAAGGAAAUCACUCCCUUCUCAAAAGGAUGCAAAAUAUCUGAAACCUUUCCAGUAAGGUUUAUAUUUAGUUAGUGAAGAAGUCUGGGAUUCCUUCCUGCUGCAUACCCAGUGAGAAUACAAGUGUCCAUAGGUCCAAUUGGUCUUUAAAGGAGAGCUCAUUUCAAGACUCUUCUACCCAUGCUAUCAUAGUAUUGCAAAGGACUAAGACCUGAGAUCCUGCUGAGGUGAAUGGAGUGAGUGGAUCCCUGAGUGUUCUGGAAUAAGGUUUGCGCUGCAUCCUGUGGGAUAUUAGAACGAGCUGCCAAGAAGCUAGAAGGCGGUUAUUUCUAGACAAUAUAUCUAUAGACCACAGAGCACAUGGCAGUCUCCAAGGAAGACAACGUGUUGCAGACUGCUGGAGAACUCUUCCCUUGCAGGCAACUUCUGUGGGAGACGAAAGGAGAUGCCAGGUAAGAGGUGAUAUGGCUGCCCUGGGGAACUUGUUUCAGCACCACAAUUUUGGUGCAUAUAUGGGAAAAGAGGUUUUAUUUUUAAGUUAACUGUAUCAGGUUUGGGCAGUCAAAUACUUGUGAAACAUGUUGAAUGAUCUUGAAAGUGGAU